Bombus impatiens (common eastern bumble bee) is the source of this 1067-nucleotide long non-coding RNA. RefSeq lists it as uncharacterized. The record is from RefSeq and is a predicted model, not a curated record. NCBI's taxonomy places the organism in Eukaryota, Metazoa, Arthropoda, Insecta, Hymenoptera, Apidae. The transcript is spliced from 2 exons.
UGGAAAUUUAUUUUAACAUUCUUAUUACCAAAGGUUUUAGUAAUGAAUAUUCUUCAUACUUAUUACACUUAUUGUUAUUAUUAAAGUUGUUAUUAUAUAGUUUUUAUGAUCUCAGAAUAUGGAGUUUCUUUUGUAAGAUAAUAAUAGAUCAAUAAAUAUAAAAAUAUUCUACUAUUACGUAUUUUUUAAAGACCGGCCAUUUCGACCGAUUUUGGUAGAGGUAGCUACGUCUCAAAUGCCGGUAGGCCUAGCGUUGCCUCCAUUUGCAAUUUCCACGUGUCGUAAUUUUCUUUGUUCAGCUUUUCAAUACUUAAACUCGCCCCGCUCGACUUUUUUUAUGUUCUUUUGAUAACUGUAUUAUCACGUUAUCUUCUGCACUCCUCAAUAUUAUUACUAUUAAUAAUAUUUUCAAUAAAGAUAAUAAUUAAUUAUUGAACCUGGGUCUAUAACUUGUUCUUUUCUAUAUUCAGAGGUAGGAUCACAAUAACUUUUAUUUUAUACCUUGGAUAAAUCUAUCACACCGUUCUGAGACAAAAAAAACCUUUUUCGCACAUUCUUACAUGGAUUAGGGAUAAAAAAACAAAAAAACAUCUUAAACCUAUCGAUUGUAACUAGAACUAUCUUAUAAUUACUAUAAGAACUAUUUCUUAUAACUAACGCAUCUGCGUAUGAAUGGCGAGCACGAACUCACGUUAUUAUUUUCAACAUAUAUUUAAUUAUCAUAUUUAAGAAAACGUAUUUCUAAUAAGCGAACCUAUCAACUUAUCAGCGUUAUAUAGUCGUUAUAAUAGAUAAUUCGAUAUUAUGAACGUGAUAACUUAGUAAUAAUACUUACCUAAGAAAUAUAUGAACAGCGUCGUCAAGAGCUACAGACUGUCUAUAAUAAAUAAUCGUACUACGUGUAUAUAUGAGUAACAUAGUAACGUUCAACACUUCAAGUUACCUACCCUGUUUAUCGGAUUGUACUCCUUUCAGAAAUAAACUACCAACUGUAAAUGUUAAAGAACGAGUUAUUUAUUUAUCUUUGUACUCUUUUCAGAAGUAAACUACCAACUGUAAAUAUUCAA